GUAGUACUUCGUUCGUCCAGAAAUACUUGUCCUAAAAGUAGAUGUAUAUAGAUUUAUUUUAGUUAUAAAUACAUUUAUUUUGUACAUUUUUAGAACAAGUAUUUUCGGACGAAGGAAGCACACG
RNAcentral lists this microRNA precursor (124 nucleotides) under Hordeum vulgare. RNAcentral's name for it is "microRNA MIR1122". It matches the Rfam family "MIR1120/MIR1122 microRNA precursor family". The record is from RNAcentral. Lineage: Eukaryota; Viridiplantae; Streptophyta; Magnoliopsida; Poales; Poaceae.